CCUACGGGAGGCAGCAGUGGGGGAUAUUGCACAAUGGGCGGAACCCUGAUGCAGCGACGCCGCGUGGGUGAAGACGGGCCUCGGGGCGUUAAGCCCUGUCAGUAGGGGAGAAAAUGACGGUACGUGUAGCAGAAGCCCCGUCUAACUCCGUGCAAGCAGCCGCGGUAAUACGGCGGAUGCGGCCGUUAUCCGGAUUUAUGGGGUUUAAAGGGUGCGUAGGCGGGCUUUUGAGUCAGCGGUAAAAAUUCGGGGCUCAACCUCGACCGGCCGUUGAAACUGGUGGCCUUGCGUGCGCGAGAGGAAGGCGGAAUGCGUGGUGUAGCGGUGAAAUGCAUAGAUAUCACGCAGAACCCCGAUUGCGAAGGCAGCCUUCCGGCGCCCUACUGACGCUGAGGCACGAAAGUGCGGGGAUCGAACAGGAUUAGAUACCCCUGUAGUC
Molecule: ribosomal RNA, 439 nt
Filed under: uncultured bacterium
Lineage: Bacteria
Description: partial 16S ribosomal RNA
Rfam family: Bacterial small subunit ribosomal RNA
Source: RNAcentral